Molecule: long non-coding RNA, 391 nt
Filed under: Junco hyemalis (dark-eyed junco)
Lineage: Eukaryota; Metazoa; Chordata; Aves; Passeriformes; Passerellidae
Description: lncRNA (ENSJHYG00000014912.1)
Source: RNAcentral
UAAUUAUUAGCUAAUUGGCUGGGAUGUAUCUCAUUUGUAACAAAUGAGGAGAGGAAGGCUCUGAGGCUGUGGCUGGUGGAGGCGGAGCUGUUUAACUCCUGGUUGAGCUGGCAUAAGAAGUUGCUAUCCUGGUCUCUGGGAGGGGGCUCUGUGGUGUGGUGAUGCCUUAUCGAGGUGUGUGUCCACAAGGAUUGGUGGGUGUCACCUGCAGGCUGUCACCCACCAGCCUUUCUUGCUCAUGGACCAGGCUUUUGGAGAUUGCCUGCCACGGUGCUUCAUGGGCUGAUGCCCUCAGCAAGACAGCAGUCAGGUUACUUGCACUUCUCAAACCCAGGCCAGGAGUUUGGUACAAAGUCAAACAGUGGAAUUUACUGCUGGGGGUGUGUGUUUC